This is a non-coding RNA of Plectropomus leopardus (leopard coralgrouper), 184 nucleotides long. The record is from RefSeq and is a predicted model, not a curated record. NCBI's taxonomy places the organism in Eukaryota, Metazoa, Chordata, Actinopteri, Perciformes, Serranidae.
CUCUGAACGCUGCCGGAUCAAAGAAGAAGGUUUCUGGAUCUCAUCAGAGGAAAAAAGCAACUCAAGACUUCACCAAGAGCAGUAACGGAGCUCAGUGGAAAUCCAACAACGUGCACUGAAGCUGAAACCUAAAAACCGGCUGCAGUUUAAAGUCAGAAGUAAAAACAGGUUGUUUUGUUUUGUU